This 452-nucleotide ribosomal RNA is filed under the name uncultured bacterium. RNAcentral's name for it is "bacterial SSU rRNA". It matches the Rfam family "Bacterial small subunit ribosomal RNA", at positions 73 to 518 of the family's 1533-position model. The record is from RNAcentral.
UCAGUGUGAACAUUGGUAGUGGCGGACGGGUGAGUAACGCGUGGGUCGACCUACCCCAUAAGAGGGGGAUAACAGUUGGAAACGACUAGCUAAUACCGCAUAAGCUGAGCAAUCAGUAAAGGAGGCCUCUGAAAAUGCUUCCGCUUAUGGAUGGGCCCGCGUCUGAUUAGCUGGUUGGUGGGGUAAAGGCCUACCAAGGCGACGAUCAGUAGCCGGCCUGAGAGGGUGAACGGCCACACUGGGACUGAGACACGGCCCAGACUCCUACGGGAGGCAGCAGUGGGGAAUAUUGCGCAAUGGGGGAAACCCUGACGCAGCGACGCCGCGUGAGCGAAGAAGGCCUUAGGGUCGUAAAGCUCUGUUUUAAGGGACGAAUGUCGCGGGUAAUAAUACGAUCUGCGAAUGACGGUACCUUAAGAGGAAGCCCCGGCUAACUACGUGCCAGCCGCCGC